This 325-nucleotide unclassified non-coding RNA is filed under the name fungal sp. RNAcentral's name for it is "partial internal transcribed spacer region". The stretch from base 1 to 46 matches the Rfam family "Eukaryotic small subunit ribosomal RNA", at positions 1786 to 1831 of the family's 1831-position model. Lineage: Eukaryota; Fungi. The record is from RNAcentral.
AAGUCGUAACAAGGUUUCCGUAGGUGAACCUGCGGAAGGAUCAUUAACACUUUGUUAACCCAAUAUCAACCAAAUGUGAACUGUAGCGUCCCUAUUCAUUGAUGUAACAAGUUUCGGCUUAGUACAAUAAUGCGAUAGACAAUACCCUCUUAGUAGUUGUCUCAAACUGGACCACAAUAUCCUUUUUGUAGAUGAUGAACUAUUAACCAAUUUUAACCCUAUAACAUAAUAAUUGUCUAAUCUUCAUGAACUUAUAUACUACUUCGGUGGUGAAUAAGAUUUACGAAAUAUUGAACAACUCUUAGCAAUGGAUAUCUUGGGUCAU